Molecule: long non-coding RNA, 981 nt
Organism: Lycium barbarum (goji berry)
Lineage: Eukaryota; Viridiplantae; Streptophyta; Magnoliopsida; Solanales; Solanaceae
Exons: 6
Source: RefSeq, a predicted model, not a curated record
ACUUAGCCAAAAAAAAAAAAAAACUCCUUAAGCGAUAACUUUACUCUCUCAAAGUCAAGAAAUCCCCAAAUCUUCUUUUAUCAAAACCUAAGUGAUACGGUAAGCUAUCGAUAACACAGAAUUCGUCGCACGAAUUCUCCAUUGUCGGAGGAGAGACCUAAUAUCAGCCUUAGGUCUCUCGUCUAUGAGUUCUUGUGCAGCAGAGAAGUGUGGUAUCUUUGAUAUAUGUAGUUCGUCCGUUGCUAGGAUUGAGUUUGUUCUUUUUCUCUGUGACCAAUUUCAAAAUUAGAAUCUCUUGCCAAAGCAUCAAGAUGUGGAGAGUCAACUUAUCCUUUUCAAAAAGGAGUAUAUCUGUCAGUCACUAAAGAAGAAAUCUUCAACCCCGCCCUGAUUCCACCUCUACGCUCUCCACCAUUUCACCAUGCUUGAUGGAGGACCGCGUUGAACGUACAUCUCAAGCAGAGGAAAAACUUAGGAGCUAAAUCAUGUCGGUAGUGAAUCUCUAUUUGUAGAGUCUCUUGUUCAAUAUGCUACAGAUCAUUGUUGUUGUGGUUCAGGAGGCCACCCCUUGUUGGAACCUUGUUUGGUAGGCUGGAAUGUUAUCUAUGAUUAUUGGAGAGGGAGCUAACUUUGCCGCUUAUGCAUAGGCCCCGACAAUACUUGUGCACGCCUAGGGGCUUUAAGUAUGAUUGCCAGCAGCAUUGUUGAUGUUGUUGGAUAACACCUCAUGAAUUUAGACUUCUUUUGGGAUUUUGAAGAUUGAAGUUACAAGUCAAGAUGAAGUUUAGAAAAUGCACAAGCUCAUUAUUAAUUUUCUAGGAAUGUAUUGCAAAACUUGAUAUCAUAGUCUAGCUCGGGAUGUUAGCUUAGUUCUUUUGUUUAGGUGUUGAGCACAUAUUGAAACUAACAUCAUGGGAUGUUAACCAUUUUAUUGUAAUUAAUAACUCGUCUUUCUGUCCAUAUAAAACUUUUUUAUAUCUA